Molecule: ribosomal RNA, 486 nt
Filed under: uncultured bacterium
Lineage: Bacteria
Description: bacterial SSU rRNA
Rfam family: Bacterial small subunit ribosomal RNA
Source: RNAcentral
ACGACGCUGGCGGCGUGCUUAACACAUGCAAGUCGAACGGUGACGAGGAGCUUGCUCCUCUGAUCAGUGGCGAACGGGUGAGUAACACGUGAGCAACCUGCCCCAGACUCUGGGAUAACAGUUGGAAACAGCUGCUAAUACCGGAUACGAGACGGAGAGGCAUCUCUACCGUCUGGAAAGUUUUUCGGUCUGGGAUGGACUCGCGGCCUAUCAGCUAGUUGGUGAGGUAAUGGCUCACCAAGGCGACGACGGGUAGCCGGCCUGAGAGGGCGACCGGCCACACUGGGACUGAGACACGGCCCAGACUCCUACGGGAGGCAGCAGUCGAGAAUAGUCUACAAUGGCCGGAAGGCUGAUAGUGCGACGCCGCGUGAACGAGGGAGCCCUUCGGGGUGUAAAGUUCUUUUCUAUACGAGCAGUGCUAUAUAUAUGGAUAGUAUAUAUAGAGGGAUAGUAGUAUAGGAAUAAGCAACGGCUAACUCCGUG